AACGCGAAGAACCUUACCCAGACUUGACAUGCAGUGGACAGUUACAGAAAUGUAAUCUUCCUUCGGGACCGCUGCACAGGUGCUGCAUGGCUGUCGUCAGCUCGUGCCGUGAGGUGUUUGGUUAAGUCCAGCAACGAGCGCAACCCUUAUCACUAGUUGCCAACACGUAAAGGUGGGAACUCUAGUGAGACUGCCUGGGUUAACCAGGAGGAAGGUGAGGAUGACGUCAAGUCCGCAUGGCCCUUAUGUCUGGGGCUACACACGUGCUACAAUGGUCGGUACAGAGGGCAGCAAAGCCGCAAGGUGAAGCAAAUCCCACAAAGCCGAUCCCAGUUCAGAUUGUAGUCUGCAACUCGACUACAUGAAGAUGGAAUUGCUAGUAAUGGCGAGUCAGCUACAUCGCCGUGAAUACGUUCCCGGGCUUGUACACACCGCGCAUA
This 440-nucleotide ribosomal RNA is filed under the name uncultured bacterium. RNAcentral describes it as "bacterial SSU rRNA". It matches the Rfam family "Bacterial small subunit ribosomal RNA", at positions 958 to 1398 of the family's 1533-position model. The record is from RNAcentral.